GCCUGGGUGGCUCAGUCGGUUAAGCGUCUGACUUUGACUCAGGCCAUGAUCUCACAGUUUGUGGGUUUGAGCCCUACAUCAGGCU
RNAcentral lists this transfer RNA (85 nucleotides) under Felis catus (domestic cat). It matches the Rfam family "tRNA". Rfam says of the family: Transfer RNA (tRNA) molecules are approximately 80 nucleotides in length. Their secondary structure includes four short double-helical elements and three loops (D, anti-codon, and T loops). The record is from Rfam by way of RNAcentral. Lineage: Eukaryota; Metazoa; Chordata; Mammalia; Carnivora; Felidae.